RNAcentral lists this ribosomal RNA (922 nucleotides) under Rickenella fibula. Its description in RNAcentral is "LSU rRNA". It matches the Rfam family "Eukaryotic large subunit ribosomal RNA", at positions 37 to 946 of the family's 3401-position model. Lineage: Eukaryota; Fungi; Basidiomycota; Agaricomycetes; Hymenochaetales; Rickenellaceae. The record is from RNAcentral.
AGCAUAUCAAUAAGCGGAGGAAAAGAAACUAACAAGGAUUCCCCUAGUAACUGCGAGUGAAGCGGGAAAAGCUCAAAUUUAAAAUCUGGCGGUUAUGCCGUCCGAGUUGUAAUCUGGAGAAGCGUUUUCCGUGUUGGACCGUGUACAAGUCUCUUGGAACAGAGCGUCAUAGAGGGUGAGAAUCCCGUCUUUGACACGGACUACCAAUGCUUUGUGAUACGCUCUCAAAGAGUCGAGUUGUUUGGGAAUGCAGCUCAAAAUGGGUGGUAAAUGCCAUCUAAAGCUAAAUAUUGGCGAGAGACCGAUAGCGAACAAGUACCGUGAGGGAAAGAUGAAAAGCACUUUGGAAAGAGAGUUAAACAGUACGUGAAAUUGUUGAAAGGGAAACGCUUGAAGUCAGUCGCGUUGUCUGGGACUCAGCCUUGCUUCUGCAUGGUGUAUUUCCUGGUUAACGGGCCAACAUCGAUUUUGGUCGGUGGAUAAAGUCGAGAGGAAUGUGGCACCUUCGGGUGUGUUAUAGCCUCUUGUCGGAUGCAUCGACUGGGAUCGAGGAUCGCAGCACGCCUUUUUGGCCGGGGUUCGCCCACGUAACGUGCUUAGGAUGUUGGCAUAAUGGCUUUAAUCGACCCGUCUUGAAACACGGACCAAGGAGUCUAACAUGCCCGCGAGUGUUAGGGUGGAAAACCCUUGCGCGUAAUGAAAGUGAAAGUUGGGACCUCUGUCAUGGGGGGCACCGACGCCCGGCCUUGAACUUCUGUGACGGCGCCGCGGUAGAGCGUGUAUGUUGGGACCCGAAAGAUGGUGAACUAUGCCUGAAUAGGGCGAAGCCAGAGGAAACUCUGGUGGAGGCUCGUAGCGAUUCUGACGUGCAAAUCGAUCGUCAAAUUUGGGUAUAGGGGCGAAAGACUAAUCGAACCAUCUA